RNAcentral lists this unclassified non-coding RNA (440 nucleotides) under Hevea brasiliensis (rubber tree). The record is from RNAcentral. Lineage: Eukaryota; Viridiplantae; Streptophyta; Magnoliopsida; Malpighiales; Euphorbiaceae.
GUCGUGAUUUGGAAGGGGUUCAAGCUUCAAGGUCCUGGAAAUUUAAGUAUGUAUGACGAUUUGAGUGAGGACCAGAAGAUGGUACUUGUGGCAAGUGUUCAAUCAUGAUUCUUAAAUGGUUAUUAGGACUCAUACAGUUAUAUACAUAGAGCUGGUAUCCUGCAAGAACGUUGGAAUGACUUAAAAAAUGUCUAGCAAGGUGUAUCAUACAGUAUACUAAGUUAGCUAAGCUAUUAAGUGUUGCAAUGAAGUUGGGCAAGACCAAUUUUUUGGUGAUCAAGAUCGGGGGAGGAAUCAAUUUGUGUACAUUUAAAUAUUGCGAAAACUAGGCAGCGAAUUUGUUCCUUGGUCUGUUAUUUUCUCCAGCCAAUUUGGUUGUAGUUUGCCCAAUUUCAUGUUGUAAUAUAUGAAUCAGUGUCAAGUGGACACCAUUUUUAGAG